RNAcentral lists this long non-coding RNA (201 nucleotides) under Hordeum vulgare. RNAcentral's name for it is "long non-coding RNA (HVUL_LNC006674)". The record is from RNAcentral. Lineage: Eukaryota; Viridiplantae; Streptophyta; Magnoliopsida; Poales; Poaceae.
UUGCAAACAGAUUAGCAUCCCUCAACUUCUCAAAAUCGAAAAAUCUACAUCAGGGAAAGAAAGCUUCACAUAAUAGCAAGGUUGAUUCUGACCAACAGUAUCUGUAACUUCUGCACUGAUAUUGUCCUGAUCACCUAUAUCUAGAGUUUUAGCUUCCUCUUGGAUGUCUACUUUGCCAAAUACAUCAGAUGGAACCGAUUG